RNAcentral lists this small RNA (267 nucleotides) under Otolemur garnettii (small-eared galago). RNAcentral's name for it is "Metazoan signal recognition particle RNA (ENSOGAG00000024540.1)". The record is from RNAcentral. Lineage: Eukaryota; Metazoa; Chordata; Mammalia; Primates; Galagidae.
GCCGGGCGUUGUGGCGGGCGCCUGUGGGCCCAGCUACUUGGGAGGCGGAGGCAGGAGACUCUCUUGAGCCCAGGAGUUGGAGGUUGCUGUGAGCUGUAAUGCCACGGCACUCUGCCCAGGGGGACAGCUUGAGGCUCUGUCUCAAAAAAAUAAAAAAAUAAAAAAAUAAAAUAAAAGACACAGUCUCAGUUAUUUGCUCUUGGUAGAGUGCCAUGGCAUCACAGCUCACAGCGGCCUCCAGCUCUUGGGCUUAGGCGAUUCUCUUGC